This 1574-nucleotide unclassified non-coding RNA is filed under the name Hevea brasiliensis (rubber tree). Lineage: Eukaryota; Viridiplantae; Streptophyta; Magnoliopsida; Malpighiales; Euphorbiaceae. The record is from RNAcentral.
AUUGACACUCUCAUUUUCUGUAUCUUCCCCUUUUGACACUUCAUUGACAUCAGUCUCCCCAUAAAUGAUGGAACUUUUCUCUUGAGAGUCCUUCACAUCGGAGGUAAAGUUUGGGGAAGAAAUUUUGAUUUCCAAACAGUCAGGUGUUGCGUUGACAUUUCUUUCUGACUGAGAUAGUGGAGUAUUUUCAUUUUUGUUGAGUUCCUUAAAACAUGGAGGAUAUAGAUCAUCCAUCAGGCUAGCUUUACAGCUUCUGCUUCUACUUAAUUUCAAGAUGCUUGAGCCUGGUGAAUCGUCAAGGAGCUCAUAUGUUGAGGAUAAAUUUGCUGGAGAAGGAGGCUCAAAUGUAUGCACACAGUUCAACUCUUUCUCUUCCUUCAAUGGCAAUGUUACUGACUCUCUACUGUCUGCAAACUUUGGUGAUUCAAGGGUUUGGGAAUCCUUUGAGGGAAGUGACAAUGGUUCUUCACUAGGUUCCUUUUCUUCCUUAAAAGAUGAGAAGGGUACAAAGUCUUCGUCUUCUUUACAGGGCAACAAUGUGACUUCUCCAUUUUCCUUGAGUAAAGGUGGUGCUAAUCGUCCAUAGUCGUCUGCUGGAGGUGACACUGUUCCAAUAUCUGCUUUGUCUUCAUUUUCUGCUGUCAUUUCAGCUGGAAACUUAUUUCUCUCUUCAGGAGAUGGAAAUUUGGAUUCUUGUUUUACCUUCGUACUUGAUUCCUUGGUUUCAAUGCAAUGAACUUCCUUGUAUAGGUCUUCUGAAUUAGUUCCAUUACUUUGUUUUUCAAUAUCAUCCCAUCCUUCACAUGAAUCACUUUCACUAUAGUUUGAACUGCGGCCAGCUAACAACCUUGGAGAUGAACUGUUAUGGAGAAAGUUCUCUUCAAACUCCGGCACGCGUAUAAUUUGUUCCUCGGAACUACUCCUGCUAUGUCCAUCUGAACAAGUUCUAAUAUCAGCAUCUAUAGAUGGGGUGUAUGACAAAAUGGACACUUGCAUUGGGCUUUGAUAAUCUGGUGAUCUCCGCACACGCAGAUUUGGGUAGUUUCCUAAACCAACCUGCAUCAAUAAACCUGCAUCGUCUCCAAGUAGCUGUCGCAUAUCUCUAACUUGAGUCUGAGCAAUGUCACGCUGCAUAGUCAAGUCCUUUAUCUCCUUCUCCAUCUGUUCUAUUUGUUUGUUCUUCUCUCGCAGUAAUGCUUCAUAAUCUGAAGGGAACAAAGAAGUUCUAGGACUCCUUAACUCGUUCUCCAAUCUCGUCAACUCCCUCUGCAAAUGCUUCACUAACACUUUAUCUGACACAACUACAUUCACUUGGGCAGUAGUAGUUACUUCCUUGGCACAACUUGCAAACAGAAGAGUAUUCCUUGAUUGCUCAACAUGACUUCGUGCAGGGCUCAUUGUACAGAUGAUGGCAGUUCUACCGUUUCCACCCAAUGAAGGUUGUAGUAUCCUAGUUAACUUUGAAUCUCGGAAAGGAAUGUGGCCGUUUCUACCCUUGCUUAGCUUGCGUAUAACAGUGCCCAAAGUCAGCAAACUGCGAUUUAUGUGACAGCCUUCUUUCAGCCUUGUGCCAG